This 426-nucleotide ribosomal RNA is filed under the name uncultured bacterium. Its description in RNAcentral is "bacterial SSU rRNA". It matches the Rfam family "Bacterial small subunit ribosomal RNA", at positions 355 to 796 of the family's 1533-position model. The record is from RNAcentral.
UCGAGGAUCUUCGUCAAUGGGCGAAAGCCUGAACGAGCGACGCCGCGUGCGCGAUGAAGGCCUUCGGGUUGUAAAGCGCGAAAGUGGAGAGAAAGGGCAACUUGAUCAAUCCACAGUAAGGACGGGCUAAGUUCGUGCCAGCAGCCGCGGUAAGACGAACUGUCCUAACGUUGUUCGGAAUCACUGGGCUUAAAGGGCGCGUAGGCGGUCCAACAAGUCAGGGGUGAAAUCCUGCAGCUCAACUGUAGAAGUGCCUCUGAUACUGUUGGUCUCGAGGGAGAUAGGGGUGUGCGGAACUUCCAGUGGAGCGGUGAAAUGCGUUGAUAUUGGAAGGAACGCCGGUGGCGAAAGCGGCGCACUGGAUCUCUUCUGACGCUGAGGCGCGAAAGCUAGGGGAGCAAACGGGAUUAGAUACCCCUGUAGUCC